Molecule: long non-coding RNA, 693 nt
Filed under: Homo sapiens (human)
Lineage: Eukaryota; Metazoa; Chordata; Mammalia; Primates; Hominidae
Description: non-protein coding lnc-KLHL42-5:1
Source: RNAcentral
GAAGCCGGGUGGUGCGUGGGCUACCCCAACCUGUGUGGCUGGGCCGCGGUCUCCCCUCAAGGGCCUGGGGCCGUGCCUCGGGUGUACGCGUAGGGGUCUGUGUGCUGGGGGUGGCUCACCGGGCAGCGUGGGUGAGCGGCGCAGCGGCGGCAGCGGAGAGCGAGAGAGGGGAGCAGAGACAGAAUCGCCUAAGCUGAAGUGUAGUGGCGCCAUCAUAGCUCACUGCAGCCUCCAGCUCCUUGGCUCAAGUGAUUCUCCUGCCUGAGCCUCCCUAGUAGCUAGGACUACAGGCUUCUAACCCUCCUUUAUGUGACUCAGAGAAAGGAGACCUCAUUCCAAGUUCCAGGAUUAAUUCUGAUGAAAGUAUUCUGUCUCAUGCAUCUAAUACUUUACUUGUGAAUGAAGAUUCAUUAUGAGUCUGGUUUAUAUUUUUUAGGUGCUAUACGUGGAUGACCUGCUUAGUUUUAAUUUUUGGAGAAAUACAUUUUAUAAAACAUUUUCAUCAGAUUGCUAAAAUUGUGAGUAAUGGUAAUGAUACCAUGAUUAUAUUCUGGUUAAUUUAAUACCUUUCCUUUUUACAAUAUGUUUCUGUCUAAAUAUAUAUUUUUUAGUGUCAUUACCUACUGAGUUUCUGUGAAAAGAAUUUCCUUUGCCUGUUAAAACAAUCGUUGAAAUUAAUGUUUUUACUGUUUU